Molecule: ribosomal RNA, 468 nt
Filed under: uncultured bacterium
Lineage: Bacteria
Description: partial 16S ribosomal RNA
Rfam family: Bacterial small subunit ribosomal RNA
Source: RNAcentral
GACGAACGCUGGCGGCGCGCCUAACACAUGCAAGUCGAACGGAGCUGAGAGAAGCUUGCUUUUCUUAGCUUAGUGGCGAACGGGUGAGUAACGCGUGAGUAACCUGCCUUGGAGUGGGGGACAACAGUUGGAAACGACUGCUAAUACCGCAUAAGCUCACGAUCCGGCAUCGGCUUGAGGGAAAAGGAUUUAUUCGCUUCAGGAUGGACUCGCGUCCAAUUAGCUAGUUGGUGAGGUAACGGCCCACCAAGGCGACGAUUGGUAGCCGGACUGAGAGGUUGAGCGGCCACAUUGAGACUGAGACACGGCCCAGACUCCUACGGGAGGCAGCAGUGGGGGAUAUUGCACAAUGGGGGAAACCCUGAUGCAGCGACGCCGCGUGGAGGAAGAAGGUUUUCAGAUUGUAAACUCCUGUCGUUAGGGACGAUAAUGACGGUACCUAACAAGAAAGCACCGGCUAACUACGUG